ACCAGUGUAUGAUGAUUGUUUUACAAUGGGAAUCUCUCUGACAAAAUCUGUAUGGAGAUUGUAUCUUCUGAUACUGGU
Small nucleolar RNA from Ruditapes philippinarum (Manila clam), 78 nucleotides. RefSeq annotates it as small nucleolar RNA SNORD79. Lineage: Eukaryota; Metazoa; Mollusca; Bivalvia; Venerida; Veneridae. The record is from RefSeq and is a predicted model, not a curated record. The transcript has a single exon.